RNAcentral lists this ribosomal RNA (235 nucleotides) under Helicobacter pylori. Its description in RNAcentral is "partial 23S ribosomal RNA". It matches the Rfam family "Bacterial large subunit ribosomal RNA", at positions 1887 to 2119 of the family's 2925-position model. Lineage: Bacteria; Pseudomonadati; Campylobacterota; Epsilonproteobacteria; Campylobacterales; Helicobacteraceae. The record is from RNAcentral.
GCGUCAGUCGCAGGAUGAAGCGUUGAAUUGAAGCCCGAGUAAACGGCGGCCGUAACUAUAACGGUCCUAAGGUAGCGAAAUUCCUUGUCGGUUAAAUACCGACCUGCAUGAAUGGCGUAACGAGAUGGGAGCUGUCUCGACCAGAGAUUCAGUGAAAUUGUAGUGGAGGUGAAAAUUCCUCCUACCCGCGGCAAGACGGAAAGACCCCGUGGACCUUUACUACAACUUAGCACUG